GAUGAACGCUGGCGGCGUGCCUAAUACAUGCAAGUCGAGCGAACGGACGAGAAGCUUGCUUCUCUGAUGUUAGCGGCGGACGGGUGAGUAACACGUGGAUAACCUACCUAUAAGACUGGGAUAACUUCGGGAAACCGGAGCUAAUACCGGAUGAUAUUUUGAACCGCAUGGUUCAAAAGUGAAAGACGGUCUUGCUGUCACUUAUAGAUGGAUCCGCGCUGCAUUAGCUAGUUGGUAAGGUAACGGCUUACCAAGGCAACGAUGCAUAGCCGACCUGAGAGGGUGAUCGGCCACACUGGAACUGAGACACGGUCCAGACUCCUACGGGAGGCAGCAGUAGGGAAUCUUCCGCAAAGGGCGAAAGCCUGACGGAGCCACGCCGCGUGAGUGAUGAAGGUCUUCGGAUCGUAAAACUCUGUUAUUAGGGAAGAACAUAUGUGUAAGUAACUGUGCACAUCUUGACGGUACCUAAUCAGAAAGCCCCGGCUAACUACGUG
Molecule: ribosomal RNA, 497 nt
Filed under: uncultured bacterium
Lineage: Bacteria
Description: partial 16S ribosomal RNA
Rfam family: Bacterial small subunit ribosomal RNA
Source: RNAcentral